AGUAGAAUUACUGGGUCAUGUUAAUUGUACAUUUGACUUUUUGAGGAACUUCCAAAUUAUUUUCCAAAGGGGCUUUACCAUUUUACAUUCCCUCUAUAAAA
This 101-nucleotide microRNA precursor is filed under the name Marmota monax (woodchuck). The record is from RNAcentral. Lineage: Eukaryota; Metazoa; Chordata; Mammalia; Rodentia; Sciuridae.